RNAcentral lists this long non-coding RNA (461 nucleotides) under Capsicum annuum. RNAcentral describes it as "long non-coding RNA (CANN_LNC002644)". The record is from RNAcentral. Lineage: Eukaryota; Viridiplantae; Streptophyta; Magnoliopsida; Solanales; Solanaceae.
AACUUUGAUAAUUCAUUACAUUAUGUCACAAUCGUAAAUUGACAGAUUUGAUAAUUUAUAUAAAAAGACAGAAAGCAAUAUGUAAUAGAAAUUUAAAGAAAAAUAGAAAAUGCAUUCAUAGAUUUUGCAAUUAAGCUUCCAAAAGAUGAGGCAAAACAACAUAAAAUUUUAGGCAUGAUCAAACCCCAGUUUUAGAAUCGUGCUUUUCAAAAAUAUUACAACUUGUUCAAUCUACCAAGACCCCCGGCAAAUCAAGUAUGGAGUACAAGUCUAAUUCUUUAAAGUUUCCUCUGGUUCGGCACCUCAAAUGGUCAUUGUGUCGAUGCUAGUAGUAGUAACCUCCAUUGAUGUUGAUUCUUGAAUUGUUAUCAUAGGAGCAUCAAAGAUCAAUGAUUUAUCAUUUCCUAGCUUUCCAAUUGGUACACUGCUUUCCUUUGAAUCAAAAUCUUCCUCAAUAGUUA